Oncorhynchus keta (chum salmon) is the source of this 738-nucleotide long non-coding RNA. RefSeq lists it as uncharacterized. The record is from RefSeq and is a predicted model, not a curated record. Lineage: Eukaryota; Metazoa; Chordata; Actinopteri; Salmoniformes; Salmonidae. The transcript is spliced from 4 exons.
UGGAAACAGGAUGCACCUGAGCAUAGAAAAGGGUCUAAAUACUUUUAUCUUUUCUACAUUUUCACUUUGUCAUUAUGGGGUAGUGUGUAGAUUGCUGAGGAUUUUAAUUGUUUUAACCCAUUUUUAAUAAGGUUUUAACAUAACAAAAUGUGAAAAAAAGUGAAGGGGUCUGAAUACUUUCCCAAAGGCAGGCAACAGUUUUCCCAGGCCUCCACCCUGGAGGUUCACUGAAGAUCUCACCUUACUCAGGUAGCUGUGAAACCUCUUCCAGGCUGAGAACUUUGUCAGUCUAAGCUUUGCAGCAGCCUCUUUGACACUGUCAAGUUCAUUCCUCAGGGGGAGGCCCCAGUUCCUGUCUGUGCCUCGUCUUUGCUACUCCCCAUGGUGCUGAAGGGUGUACAGUACAGUAUUGGACCAUAUCACCUACACCAAACCAGCAGAGAGCCUCAACAAUGGCCAGAUUGAAGGCCCCAGAGUGUUGGAAGGGAAAACGCCCAGGUUAGGUUCGGGAGGGGCACCGUGCACAAUAGUCUGCUCUCCCACUUCAACCAGGACAGUGUCUCACGUUGAAGAGGAUUAAAAGAGAGAAUGGACCAAGCUACAGACAAGGAGAGAGAUAAUAUAGGAGUAGGGCUAAAUUGCACGGUUCUGUGCCCCUCUGCCUCAUGUGGAAUCCUGUGUGAAUUUCAGCCCAACAGUGGCUGCCAGAGCAGCAGUUGGAUAAAGGGCUUAACUUUC